Molecule: long non-coding RNA, 1069 nt
Filed under: Homo sapiens (human)
Lineage: Eukaryota; Metazoa; Chordata; Mammalia; Primates; Hominidae
Description: HSALNT0387737
Source: RNAcentral
GCACACAUGCAGCUCUUAGGCCCGGGCCGCACGUCUCAGAAGCCCCGUGUGCGACUUUGACCGCCGCACGAUCCUCUGCCGGGGGAGGUGGGCCCGCUGCGCUUUGGGAGCACCCGCGCCCGACACUGAGGUCUCGGUGCUGUGUUCGGCCUCUUCGUCCCUGCGGGUCCCCUCUGGGAGCAGAGGCGGUCGGAAAACCCUGGGGCUGAAGUGCAGGCUUCGGGAGGACGCGACCUGCCAAGAUCAGCUCCCGGCACGUGAUGGGAGCCUGGCUCACCUUCCCCCAGCGCACGAUGGGCCGCAGCCUCCCCGGUCGGCCUGGCCUGCUGGAAAGGAGCAGCUCUGUUUCCAGAGGCUUCUGGCGAAGCCCACGGCCUCCCAUUGUUGGCUGAUUUAUAAGGAAAGAGGGGAAAGGCCAAGUGUGGAUGCCAUUAGCAUAACCUAAUCCAGACCCCAUGACAAGUCCAGGAUCCUGCAGGGAGAGGGCAUCCUUGAACGUGAAGGACUGGCUUUGGAAACUUGGCCUCCCGGAAGAAAGGUCUCCGGGCCCACCCACACCCACCUUGUGGACGCCCCCGCAGUCGAAUACACUCCACAGGAAGACGGACCACAAACAGCAGCAGCCUCCGGUGUCGGCCCAGUGAUCCGGGAGCUCAGAGUGUAGGUACCUGACGGCUUGACUCGUCCCCAGGACAAGGCCUGUGAGAGGGAGGGGGGCACUCUGAGUGUGCGAAUGUGUGAGUGUGUGUGUCUGGGCACGAGUGUGUAUGCGUGUGUGUGUGCAUGUACUAUAUUCACAUGUGUGAGAGUGUGAAUGUGUGUGUCUGUGGGUCUGCGCACAUAAGUGUGUGUGUGCAUAUACUAUAUUCACGUGUGACUGUGCAAAUGUGAGUGUGUCUGUAGGUCUGGGCACAUGUGUAUGCAUGUGUGUGCGAGUACUAUAUUCACGUGUGUGUGAGUGCGAAUGUGAGUGGGUGUGGGUCUGGUCACAUGUAUGUAUGCAUGUGUGCAUGUAUUAUAGUCAUGUGAGUGUGCAAAUGUGUGAGUGUGGGUCUGGGCACACAAGUGU